UGAGCCUGCCGAGGAGGGUU
RNAcentral lists this unclassified non-coding RNA (20 nucleotides) under Chlamydomonas reinhardtii. RNAcentral describes it as "small RNA Cre_2913". Lineage: Eukaryota; Viridiplantae; Chlorophyta; Chlorophyceae; Chlamydomonadales; Chlamydomonadaceae. The record is from RNAcentral.